This 1018-nucleotide long non-coding RNA is filed under the name Phoenix dactylifera (date palm). RNAcentral describes it as "long non-coding RNA (PDAC_LNC006612)". Lineage: Eukaryota; Viridiplantae; Streptophyta; Magnoliopsida; Arecales; Arecaceae. The record is from RNAcentral.
AAUUGACUAGCAGCAUACUUGUCCAUUCCGGCAUCUUGGAUACCAUAUUUCUUAUUAAGAUCAUCCCAAAUCUCCUUGGAGGUUUUAAAAGUGCAGUAGACAUCAAAAAGGGGAUCAGUAAGAUAGGACAGAAUCCUUCCCCUACACAGGUAGUCUUUCUUCUUAAAUUCCUCCAAAUUACAAGUUCUAGCUGGUUCAUUCUCUUCCUCAUUUGGAGGAGAGUCAAAGAUUAUGGAAAAUAACCCAAGUGUGGUUAAGAAGAUUUCCAUCUUCUGUCUCCAACGCUUAAAGUUAUUUCCAUUAAAUUUUUCAGGAGGAACCGGGUCACUUGCAUUGGCCAUUGGGGUAACUCUAAGUACUAGCCUAUUAUAUGUAGGAAGAAAUCUACUUCAAGAAUGUUGGGAAAAUGCUGUCCCAGAAAAAAUUUUAAAUCUAUAAUACUCUACUUCAACAAAUAAUAGGCAGAAAUAGGCUUAGAGAAAAUAAAUAGAGAAAGUGGAAAAAUGGAACCCGAGAUGCUGAGGCGUGGUAUGUUGGUCACUUUCCUUGAAGUAGAUUUCGCCGCCUUACAGUGCACUAGGCUUGGAUGGCGUUCUACUCCUGAGAUACAACAGCCUCUCGCAAUGUUCCUUCUGCCUCAAUGAUUUGCACGGAUCAAAGAAGCUUUUGAACCCAGAAUCAGUAUGCAGCAAGCCCGUUGAUUGAAAGAAAAAUAGCAAACAGGGAGAAUAGAAGUUCUCUGCUUUCAAUUUUUUAUAUAUGUCUAUCUCCUGUCUAAUCCGAAGAGGUCUAUUUAUAGACUUCUUCGGGACAGACGCGACCCAAAACCGAUCCAACGGUCAAAACCGGUAAGAAAGUUUGAAAAAACACUGGGAGUAUGGCCAGCGGAUGCGAGGUUGGUUGCGAAGAGGUGCUAACGAGGAAGCGACGUGGCUCCUCGUGCUAAGGGUGCGAGGCACGGCCCACGCACCUCUUGGCUCAUCGUACCCGUUGUCCGACCUCGGCUCCUCUGGGCUCA